This 842-nucleotide ribosomal RNA is filed under the name uncultured Bacteroidota bacterium. RNAcentral describes it as "bacterial SSU rRNA". It matches the Rfam family "Bacterial small subunit ribosomal RNA", at positions 30 to 834 of the family's 1533-position model. Lineage: Bacteria; Pseudomonadati; Bacteroidota. The record is from RNAcentral.
GAUACGCUGACGGCACGCCUAAUACCCUGCAAGUUCCAACGGUGUCUUCGGACAUAGUGGCGCACGGGUGCGUAACACGUAUGCAACCUACCUUACAUUGGGGGAUAGCCUUUCGAAAGGGAGAUUAAUACCGCAUAAGACAGUAGCUGGGCAUCCAGCAGCUGUUAAAGAUUUAUCGAUGUAAGCUGGGCAUGCGUCCAAUUAGCUAGUUGGUGAGGUAAUGGCUCACCAAGGCAAUGAUUGGUAGGGGAACUGACGAGGUCAAUCCCCCACACUGGCACUGAGAUACGGGCCAGACUCCUACGGGAGGCAGCAGUAAGGAAUAUUGGGCAAUGGACGCAAGUCUGACCCAGCCAUGCCGCGUGCAGGAUGAAGGCGUUAUGCGUUGUAAACUGCUUUUAUACAGGAAGAAACGACUCUUGCGAGAGGCAUUGACGGUACUGUAUGAAUAAGCACCGGCUAACUCCGUGCCAGCAGCCGCGGUAAUACGGAGGGUGCAAGCGUUGUCCAGGAUUUAUUGGGUUUAAAGGGUGCGCAGUGUGGUUUAUCAAGUCAGUGGUGAAAGACGGUCGCUCAACGAUUGCAGUGACAUUGAAACUGGUAGAACUUGAAGUUAAAAGUACGAACGAGUGGCGCGUGAAAUUGAUAGUUGUAGCCGGGUGAAAAAUGCAAUAGAAUAUUAAUCAAGAAAACUCCCCAAUCGCGUACAGGCAGACUCACUUGGGCUUUAACUUGAACACUUCAAUGGCACAGAAAAGUUGUUGGGGUAUUCAAACACGGAUUAGAAUACCCCCGUUUAGUCCAACACUGUACACAUCAAUACCAAGGUGUCCGACGCAAAC